CCGUGCAAUGCACGGGCUUCGAUAUAUAUAAAUGAAUCAAGCAAAUGAUUAAUGUCGUCUCCAAGUUCAAACUUAAUUUUUUCCUCGUACGUCCAUCCUAGCGUGUUUGGGCAUCAAUCAGGCGCCAAGCGGGCUCCUCAAAAUCCAAAUCUCGGCUGAACUACCUGCCAUGUUAUUCGAACAUGUGGUCCCAACAUAAAAACUCCACCCCAUGACACACUCUUUCCCAUUUCUUGUCGGAUCCUUCCAUUCCCGCUCCGUUUUCCAUCGUAGCGGGACAUUUCUUCCAUUAAAAUCGGAUGAUGCCCACCUUACCUUUGCCACGGUGUUCUCUCUCCUUCACACCGUGCUUCCCCACGGUUCCGCAAGGAGGAGUCUUUUGCCAACGAACCCGCUCUCCACCAUAAACCCCCUCUCUCCGCGUGUUCGUGUCGAUUGAACACCUCCAUCAAGGCAGCGAGGCAUGCGCCGCCCGUGUGACACCCCCGAGUCAAGAAGUCAGAUUCGAUGUCAUGCAUUAACAUAAAACAAAAAAAUAUGACUUGAUGGCAAAAUAUAUGAACAACCCGCUCAUACAAUUUGCUGCAAAGUGAUCUCUAAUGAAAUGUAAUUUGUCACAUUUUCUAAAGUAAGAAAUUAUUCUGCUCACACAACAGUAACUAAACAAACCAACGCCAAUCCACAUCUCGCUUACGCUCAACCCUUACUCUUAUUCCGCUCAGACAAAAAAUGAGUUAUGAACAUGAAUGAUUUCUACAAAGUUAGGGAAUUAGAAUAUGUUUUUACAGCGCUACAAGGUUUCAGUUUGUUUAAAAAUAAUAAUACACUCGUAGAAUGAUUUUAAGCAAUCGGCA
Molecule: long non-coding RNA, 854 nt
Filed under: Hordeum vulgare
Lineage: Eukaryota; Viridiplantae; Streptophyta; Magnoliopsida; Poales; Poaceae
Description: long non-coding RNA (HVUL_LNC001384)
Source: RNAcentral